UGCCGGUGUACCCCCGUCGGAGGUUGACUGUGUGUGUGUGUGUGUGACCCCUGUUUGGGGCUCACUGUGCAAGAGACGGUGUGUGUGACCCCCAUGGGGGGUGACUGUGUGUAAGUGUGACCCCCGUCUGGGGUUGCCUGUGUGUGACUCCUGUGUGGGGGGUGACCCCCAUGGAGGGGUUGACUGUGUGUGAGUGUGACCCCCGCCUGGGUGGGUGACUGAAUGUGUGACACCGCCCCCUCGCCCCGUCGGGGGUGACUGUGCAGGGCACUUGUCCUGAGACUGGAACUCCUGAUUGGGUAAACUGCGUGAGAUGCCGUUCUGGGAUGCCGGAUCCUGUGUGCGUCUUCCUGUGUGUGAUUCCGGCCUGUCCCCUGGGGGCCGUGCCUGUGUGGUGCUAGGGGGGAGCAGCCGCAGGGGUGCCCCUGUGGAGGUGAAAUCGGUUCCCCUGGUGCACGUCCCUGGGGUUCUGGCUGUGGCCGUGAGUGGCGGUCCUCUGUCACUGUGUGUCGUUUACAAAGUACUCCUCUGCACGUAAUUUCAUGGUUCCUUCUCAAAAACAACGGGUGAAGAAGUCAGCUCCAGGAAGAGGUUAUUCGGACAGCCUGUCAAGCCUGAAAGUGAAGUGAAAGUGAAAGUCGCUCAGUCGUGUCGGACUCUGCAACCCCAUGGGCUGUACGGUCCAUGGAAUUCUCUAGGCCAGAAUACUGGAGUGAUGGGUAGCCUAUCCCUUCUCCAGCGGAUCUUCCCAACCCAGGGAUCGAACCCAGGUCUCUCACAUUGCGUGUGGAUUCUUUACCAGCUGAGUCACCAGAGAAGGCCACGAAUACUGGAGUUGGCUAUCCCUUCUCCAGUGGAUCAACCCGACCCAGGAACCAAACUGGGGUCUCUGGCAUUGCAGGCAGCUUCUUUACCAGCUGAGCCACCAGAGCAGCCGGUCAAGCCCAGGCCUUUGAUCCUAAGCCCCGCCUUCCUUGUGUUGCUUUGCAUCCAGUCCACUUCCGCUCUAAACACGUUAAAAAAAUAAAUUUUUUUUUUUGA
Dama dama (fallow deer) is the source of this 1041-nucleotide long non-coding RNA. RefSeq lists it as uncharacterized. The transcript is spliced from 2 exons. The record is from RefSeq and is a predicted model, not a curated record. Lineage: Eukaryota; Metazoa; Chordata; Mammalia; Artiodactyla; Cervidae.